GGAGCAAUACCCAAGAGGCUGAAGGGACCGGUUUCGAAAGCCGGGAGUGGUCGCAAGGCCAGCGGGGGUUCAAAUCCCUCUUGCUCCGCCA
This 91-nucleotide transfer RNA is filed under the name Anaeroplasma bactoclasticum. RNAcentral's name for it is "tRNA-Ser". It matches the Rfam family "tRNA". From Rfam's summary of the family: Transfer RNA (tRNA) molecules are approximately 80 nucleotides in length. Their secondary structure includes four short double-helical elements and three loops (D, anti-codon, and T loops). Lineage: Bacteria; Bacillati; Mycoplasmatota; Mollicutes; Anaeroplasmatales; Anaeroplasmataceae. The record is from RNAcentral.